GUGAGUCAAGAUGUAAGAACUCUCCGCUCCUGCUCCAGCACCACGUCUGCCUGCACACAGCCAUGUCACACCAUGAUGAUAAUGGACUAAACCACUGAAAAUAAUUCUAGAACCCUGACAACAUGGAGUUGCUCCUUAACUAAAAGAGCAGUGACAAGUGGGGGACAGAAUGUCGGGUGCCAUGACAGAGUCAACAGGAAACAAGAAAGCUGAUUAGCUAGAAGUGGUCUGGAGUGUUUGCAAAGAGGUUUGUCCACGGAUUAUGUGUUAUAUGAUGGGAUUUUCCCUUCAAUACAUCACAUCUCCAGAAAAAUCCAUGCUAUAUUGCAGACUCUGUGGAACUUCAGGAGGCUGAAGCAGGAGUUCAAGACUAGCCUUGGCUACAG
Molecule: long non-coding RNA, 386 nt
Filed under: Cricetulus griseus (Chinese hamster)
Lineage: Eukaryota; Metazoa; Chordata; Mammalia; Rodentia; Cricetidae
Description: lncRNA (ENSCGRG00015024610.2)
Source: RNAcentral